Molecule: ribosomal RNA, 253 nt
Filed under: uncultured bacterium
Lineage: Bacteria
Description: partial 16S ribosomal RNA
Rfam family: Bacterial small subunit ribosomal RNA
Source: RNAcentral
UACGGAGGGUGCAAGCGUUACUCGGAAUUACUGGGCGUAAAGCGUGCGCAGGCGGUUUGUUAAGUCCGUUGUGAAAGCCCCGAGCUCAACUUGGGAAUUGCAGUGGAUACUGGCAGGCUGGAGUACGGUAGAGGAAGGUGGAAUUCCCGGUGUAGCAGUGAAAUGCGUAGAUAUCGGGAGGAACACCAGUGGCGAAGGCGGCCUUCUGGACCAGUACUGGCGCUCAUGCACGAAAGCGUGGGGAGCAAACAGG